Molecule: ribosomal RNA, 490 nt
Filed under: uncultured bacterium
Lineage: Bacteria
Description: bacterial SSU rRNA
Rfam family: Bacterial small subunit ribosomal RNA
Source: RNAcentral
GAUCAUGGCUCAGAUUGAACGCUGGCGGCAUGCUUUACACAUGCAAGUCGAACGGUAACAGGUUAAGCUGACGAGUGGCGAACGGGUGAGUAAUGCAUCGGAACGUGCCCGGUCGUGGGGGAUAACGCAGCGAAAGCUGCGCUAAUACCGCAUACGAUCUGAGGAUGAAAGCGGGGGACCGUAAGGCCUCGCGCGAUCGGAGCGGCCGAUGUCAGAUUAGGUAGUUGGUGGGGUAAAGGCUCACCAAGCCGACGAUCUGUAGCUGGUCUGAGAGGACGACCAGCCACACUGGGACUGAGACACGGCCCAGACUCCUACGGGAGGCAGCAGUGGGGAAUUUUGGACAAUGGGCGCAAGCCUGAUCCAGCAAUGCCGCGUGCAGGAUGAAGGCCUUCGGGUUGUAAACUGCUUUUGUACGGAACGAAACGGUUCUUUCUAAUAAAGAGAGCUAAUGACGGUACCGUAAGAAUAAGCACCGGCUAACUACGUG